CGAUCUUCGCCGUCGCCGUCGCCGGUGAUUUAUUAGGGUUUAGAUGGCCAAAAUUCCGGUUGAAAACAUCUGGCCGUUUGUGUAAGGGGAGCAUGAUAUAUCGACGGACC
This is a long non-coding RNA of Ipomoea nil (Japanese morning glory), 110 nucleotides long. RefSeq lists it as uncharacterized. The record is from RefSeq and is a predicted model, not a curated record. The transcript has 3 exons. Lineage: Eukaryota; Viridiplantae; Streptophyta; Magnoliopsida; Solanales; Convolvulaceae.